This is a long non-coding RNA of Puntigrus tetrazona (Sumatra barb), 435 nucleotides long. RefSeq lists it as uncharacterized. The transcript is spliced from 4 exons. The record is from RefSeq and is a predicted model, not a curated record. NCBI's taxonomy places the organism in Eukaryota, Metazoa, Chordata, Actinopteri, Cypriniformes, Cyprinidae.
CGCCGCUUCCUUCACGCGCAGCCGAACGUAAAGCUCCGCGCGCCGUUGAACAUUCACGCGCACUCGCGAGUCGGGAGCGCUGCCCUGCUACGAGUCCCGCGGAACCGCUCGGAAAUUACCGGUGUCCCUUCGCGAAGCCGCGGAUGAUUAAUCUCGAAGCGAAAGCAGAAGGUUUCGGGGCGAUGAUGUCACAGUGAUGUCACAGAGCUGAAGCAGAGGCCGUCAUUGACAAUAUGGAGUCCCCGACCUCCAGUCAGACCUCCAUAAGAGCUCCAGCAAACCCAGAAAGCUCACCAACAGCAGCAACACACGGCAAGAGCGGUCACUUGUUUCAACUGGUUGGCAAUCAGGGUUUGGGAAUUUCUUCAGUUUCCGGUGCCUUUCCCAUGCUCACUCACCCAGUCUUCGGUCUGCACUCCUCUUCUCCUGUCCGCC